Molecule: ribosomal RNA, 519 nt
Filed under: uncultured bacterium
Lineage: Bacteria
Description: bacterial SSU rRNA
Rfam family: Bacterial small subunit ribosomal RNA
Source: RNAcentral
AGUGCGGCCCGCAAAUUUUAAAAAUUCAAUAUGAAUUGACGGGGGCCCGCACAAAGCGGUGGAGCAUGUGAUAAAUUGGAAUGCAAGGGGAAGAACUUUACCUACCCUUGACAUUAUCAGAACUUGUUAGAGAUAACUCGGUGCCUUAGGGAACUGAAUAACAGGUGUUGCAAGGAUGUCGUCAGCUCGUGUCGUGAGAGUGGGGUUAAUUCCCGCAACGAGCGCAACCCCUAUCCUUAAUGGCCACUCUUUAUUGUGGGAACUUUAAGGAGAUUGCCGGUGAUAAACCGAAGGAAGGUGGGGACACGACAAGUCAUCAUGGCCCUAAUGGGUAGGGCAACAAACGUGCUACAAUGCCCAGUACAGAGGGCAGGGAACUCGCGAGAGUAAGCAAAUCCCAUAAACCUGGUCGUAGUCCGGAUGGGAGUCUGCAACUCGACUCCAUGAAGUUGGAAUCGUUAGUAAUCGUAAAUCAGAAUGUCACGGUGAAUACGUUCCCGGCCCUUGUACAACAGUCCC